RNAcentral lists this transfer RNA (77 nucleotides) under SAR324 cluster bacterium. RNAcentral describes it as "tRNA-Arg". It matches the Rfam family "tRNA". Rfam says of the family: Transfer RNA (tRNA) molecules are approximately 80 nucleotides in length. Their secondary structure includes four short double-helical elements and three loops (D, anti-codon, and T loops). RNAcentral also lists the same sequence under 1 other name. The record is from RNAcentral. Lineage: Bacteria; Deltaproteobacteria.
GCGGGCGUAGCUCAACUGGAUAGAGCAUCAGACUUCGGAUCUGAGGGUUGGGGGUUCGAAUCCUCCCGCCCGCGCCA